AUUGAACGCUGGCGGCAGGCCUAACACAUGCAAGUCGAGCGGUAACAGAUUGAUAGCUUGCUAUCAAUGCUGACGAGCGGCGGACGGGUGAGUAAUGCCUGGGAAUAUACCCUGAUGUGGGGGAUAACUAUUGGAAACGAUAGCUAAUACCGCAUAAUCUCUUCGGAGCAAAGAGGGGGACCUUCGGGCCUCUCGCGUCAGGAUUAGCCCAGGUGGGAUUAGCUAGUUGGUGGGGUAAUGGCUCACCAAGGCGACGAUCCCUAGCUGGUCUGAGAGGAUGAUCAGCCACACUGGAACUGAGACACGGUCCAGACUCCUACGGGAGGCAGCAGUGGGGAAUAUUGCACAAUGGGGGAAACCCUGAUGCAGCCAUGCCGCGUGUAUGAAGAAGGCCUUCGGGUUGUAAAGUACUUUCAGUUGUGAGGAAGGCGUUGGAGUUAAUAGCUUCAGCGCUUGACGUUAGCAACAGAAGAAGCACCGGCUAACUCCGUG
This 492-nucleotide ribosomal RNA is filed under the name uncultured bacterium. RNAcentral's name for it is "partial 16S ribosomal RNA". It matches the Rfam family "Bacterial small subunit ribosomal RNA", at positions 30 to 507 of the family's 1533-position model. The record is from RNAcentral.